Long non-coding RNA from Camelus dromedarius (Arabian camel), 1464 nucleotides. RefSeq lists it as uncharacterized. Lineage: Eukaryota; Metazoa; Chordata; Mammalia; Artiodactyla; Camelidae. The record is from RefSeq and is a predicted model, not a curated record. The transcript is spliced from 4 exons.
AAGAAUAACCCCAAGAGCGUGGCUGAGUGUGAGAGAGCGUGUGUGACGUCGGGAGGCGCCGUGGCUUAACCGAACCGCCCCACUCGGCUGUCCCUUGUCUGGACCAAAACUGCUGACUGACUGACCCUGGCGGUCACAGUUGCCCUCUGGGGUUUUUGAAAACCUUAAAUCAAAGUUACUUUUCUCCCUGGCAACUCCCAAGGCUACUUCCGCGGCCUCUGGGCUGUGAACAGAUAAGGACGUGAGUUUCCCCGACCAGGAGCUCCAGCUUUCUAUCCAGGCUCAGUACCUCGUCCUCCCCACUGCGGCAACAGCUUCUCUUUGGCCCUAGGAGUGAGCAUACCAAUGGCAAGUCAGCUCUCUAGAAGAUGGACCAUGGGAUGGCAUGGUGAUUCAGGAAUGAUCUGUCCCAGCGCUCAUGGAGUUUAAAGGCUAGAGGGAAAUCAAACUUUGAACCAGCAAUUAUGUACCAGGAAGACAUCACCUCUCUACUCCGGUGUGAAUUCUUUCACUGCCAUUGCCCCGAAAGGCAGCGGUGCUGGCGGUGCCUUCUCAAAACCGUUGAGCUCUGGAGCCAUGGCCCUGCAACAUGCGGUCGCAUGUGAAGUGUGGUGAUGAUUCCGGUUUGACUACCAUCCGGUGUCAAGUUCCCAUUCGAGCUCCUGAGAUCAAGCCCUGGGAAUUCCACUGUGGGGGAGACGCCGUGGAAGACUUAGACUCCCACCGCUUAUCAGAGGGUGUGCUGGGGCUUGGAGAGACAGAGAGGGAUAGAUUGGGGGUGUAGGAAAUGGGAAAGUAAAGAUGCUGAGGUGAUAAUGAGUAAGACUUUUUAAGAGCACUAAGAAUAGACAAUCCUGGGUGAAGCACAAGGAUGUGGCUUGGCUGGGAAUAGGUGUGUGAGACUGAUGUCCUCAGCCUUUGGGAUGACCUGGAGGGGACUGGAGCUCUGAGAGCAGCCACCUCCAGCUGUGACCAGCUCUGACCAUCUACCCUAAAGUGCCAGGCAAAUAUUAUCAUUUUCAAGAUGUGCCAUGAAUAACAAAGGUUGGGAAGCACUGCUCCAAGACUAGCGGAAGAUGAGACGGGAAAUGUAGCAUGACGCCCUACUGCAAGGAAGUGAGUGCCGGGGUAAAGAAUUUGGUGUUUCCUGGAGGACAGGGAAGAACUGCUGAAGGAUUCUGAUUGACACAAGAUUAGCCUUGUCACAGAGCUAUGAAGUCUUAGACCCAGGAAUGACUCCAAUAAAAAUUAUUUAAUUCACUCAUUCUCAGCCUUAGAGGAGGUGGGAUUGGUCAGGACAUAAUAGUGUCACUUGGAUACUUUUUCAAAAAAAUGUCCACUUCUCUCCCUUUGCAGACUCUGUACAUCUGAUGGGGACCAUGUGGAGGGAUGGCAUCUGUACGUUUAGAGUUUUCUCCAGGUAAACUAGUCUGGUUCCUGCUGAUUAAACGCAGAGUUUUGUUU